GCACUCUUAAUAUACAUGUACCGAAACCAUUUACCAGACUAAGUAGUAACCAGACUAUUUCUGUAUAAUGUGGGCUUGUUAGUUCCUUAACAAGUUGCAUUUAGAGAAUAAAUUCUAGAGAGAAACGUUAUCUUUUGACAUUGAAUUUGAUUUACUAUUUGCCAAUUACCAAACUAUAGUUGGUAAACUUUUGUUGUAUAUAUAUAUUUCCGAC
RNAcentral lists this long non-coding RNA (214 nucleotides) under Mytilus galloprovincialis (Mediterranean mussel). The record is from RNAcentral. Lineage: Eukaryota; Metazoa; Mollusca; Bivalvia; Mytilida; Mytilidae.